AGUGAACGCUGGCGGUAGGCCUAACACAUGCAAGUCGAACGGCAGCACAGUAAGAGCUUGCUCUUACGGGUGGCGAGUGGCGGACGGGUGAGGAAUACAUCGGAAUCUACUUUUUCGUGGGGGAUAAUGUAGGGAAACUUACGCUAAUACCGCAUACGACCUACGGGUGAAAGCAGGGGAUCUUCGGACCUUGCGCGAUUGAAUGAGCCGAUGUCGGAUUAGCUAGUUGGCGGGGUAAAGGCCCACCAAGGCGACGACCCGUAGCUGGUCUGAGAGGAUGAUCAGCCACACUGGAACUGAGACACGGUCCAGACUCCUACGGGAGGCGGCAGUGGGGAAUAUUGGACAAUGGGCGCAAGCCUGAUCCAGCCAUACCGCGUGGGUGAAGAAGGCCUUCGGGUUGUAAAGCCCUUUUGUUGGGAAAGAAAAGCAGCAGGUUAAUACCCCGCUGUUCUGACGGUACCCAAAGAAUAAGCACCGGCUAACUUCGUG
Molecule: ribosomal RNA, 492 nt
Filed under: uncultured bacterium
Lineage: Bacteria
Description: partial 16S ribosomal RNA
Rfam family: Bacterial small subunit ribosomal RNA
Source: RNAcentral